AGCUCCAAUAGCGUAUAUUAAAGUUGUUGCAGUUAAAAAGCUCGUAGUUGGAUUUCUGGUUGAAGCGACCGGUCGGGCGUUGAUUCGUCUGCACUGGAGUCGGUUUUGGCCAUCCUCUAGGAAAGUGCGUCUGGUAUUAAGUUAUCGGGCGUAUGAUCCUGGUCUUUUACUGUGAAAAAUUAGAGUGUUUAAAGCAGGCCUUCGCCUUGAAUACAUUAGCAUGGAAUAAUAAGAUAGGACUUUGGUCUAUUUUGUUGGUUUGCAGACCGAAGUAAUGA
RNAcentral lists this ribosomal RNA (278 nucleotides) under uncultured eukaryote. RNAcentral describes it as "partial small subunit ribosomal RNA". It matches the Rfam family "Eukaryotic small subunit ribosomal RNA", at positions 587 to 868 of the family's 1831-position model. The record is from RNAcentral.